UACGUAGGGGGCAAGCGUUGUCCGGAAUUAUUGGGCGUAAAGCGCGUGUAGGCGGCUCGGUAAGUCUGCUGUGAAAGUCCAGGGCUCAACCCUGGAACGCCGGUGGAUACUGUCGAGCUCGAGUCCGGAAGAGGCGAGUGGAAUUCCUGGUGUAGCGGUGAAAUGCGCAGAUAUCAGGAGGAACACCAAUGGCGAAGGCAGCUCGCUGGGACGGUACUGACGCUGAGGUGCGAAAGCGUGGGGAGCAAACAGG
RNAcentral lists this ribosomal RNA (253 nucleotides) under uncultured bacterium. RNAcentral's name for it is "partial 16S ribosomal RNA". It matches the Rfam family "Bacterial small subunit ribosomal RNA", at positions 524 to 776 of the family's 1533-position model. The record is from RNAcentral.